RNAcentral lists this small RNA (146 nucleotides) under Desulforamulus ruminis. RNAcentral describes it as "Desulfotomaculum ruminis c-di-AMP sequence". It matches the Rfam family "c-di-AMP riboswitch aptamer (ydaO/yuaA leader)". Rfam says of the family: This family represents a conserved RNA structure found upstream of the ydaO and yuaA genes in Bacillus subtilis and related genes in other bacteria. The ydaO/yuaA element is thought to act as a genetic "off" switch for the ydaO and yuaA genes in its native state. Lineage: Bacteria; Bacillati; Bacillota; Clostridia; Eubacteriales; Peptococcaceae. The record is from RNAcentral. RNAcentral also lists the same sequence under 1 other name.
AUAUUGUUUUCGCUUAGUCUCUCAUUGAUGAGAGAGCGGGGGAACCAAAAAUGAAUUGGGGUUAAUACAGUGUGUUCACACUGUUAGGGUUAUACUUUUCAAUCCGAACCCGUCAGCUAACUUCGUAGGCGUAGAAAAGUUGACAA